AUACUUACCUGGCAUGGGAGAUGCCAUGAUCACAAAAAUGCUUUUCCCAGGGCGAGACUCAUCCUUUGCACUCCGAGUGUGCUGACAUCUGCAAUUUCCUUAAAUGUGGGAAACUGAACUACAUAAUUCAUGGUGGUAGGGGGCAGCAUUUGCACUCUCCCCUG
Molecule: small nuclear RNA, 164 nt
Organism: Ochotona curzoniae (black-lipped pika)
Lineage: Eukaryota; Metazoa; Chordata; Mammalia; Lagomorpha; Ochotonidae
Product: U1 spliceosomal RNA
Exons: 1
Source: RefSeq, a predicted model, not a curated record